RNAcentral lists this transfer RNA (68 nucleotides) under Archetypus frenchi. RNAcentral's name for it is "tRNA-Arg". Lineage: Eukaryota; Metazoa; Arthropoda; Insecta; Coleoptera; Cerambycidae. The record is from RNAcentral.
AAAUAAGAAGCAAAAAAUUGCAUUUAGUUUCGACCUAAAAGUUUGAUAAAUGAAAUUAUCCUUAUUUA